UACGAAGGGGGCUAGCGUUGCUCGGAAUCACUGGGCGUAAAGCGCACGUAGGCGGCUUUUUAAGUCAGGGGUGAAAUCCUGGAGCUCAACUCCAGAACUGCCUUUGAUACUGAGAAGCUUGAGUCCGGGAGAGGUGGGUGGAACUGCGAGUGUAGAGGUGAAAUUCGUAGAUAUUCGCAAGAACACCAGUGGCGAAGGCGGCUCACUGGCCCGGUACUGACGCUGAGGUGCGAAAGCGUGGGGAGCGAACAGG
This 253-nucleotide ribosomal RNA is filed under the name uncultured bacterium. RNAcentral describes it as "partial 16S ribosomal RNA". It matches the Rfam family "Bacterial small subunit ribosomal RNA", at positions 524 to 776 of the family's 1533-position model. The record is from RNAcentral.